RNAcentral lists this transfer RNA (56 nucleotides) under Triticum aestivum (bread wheat). RNAcentral also lists the same sequence under 1 other name. Lineage: Eukaryota; Viridiplantae; Streptophyta; Magnoliopsida; Poales; Poaceae. The record is from Rfam by way of RNAcentral.
GCUCAGUUGGUAGAGUACAAAGCUCAUAACCUUGUGGUCAUGGGUUCAAGCCCCAC